CUUUAGAAAUAUAAAUCCUUCUAUCAUAAAGACACAUGCACUUGUAUGUUCAUCCCAGCACUAUUCUCAGUAACAAAGGCAGGGAAUCAAGCUAGAUGCCCAUCAACAGUGGACUGCAUGAAGAAAAUGUGGUCCAUAUAUGCCAUGGAAUACUGUGCAGCCAUAAACAGAACGCGAUCAUGCCCUUUGCAGCAACAUGGAUGGAGCUGGAGGCCAUGAUCCUAAGUGAAUUAAUGCAGGAACAGAAAACCAAAUACCACAUGUUCUUACUUAGAAGUGAGAACUAAACCCUGUGCACAUAUGGACACAAAGAAAGGAACAGUAGGUGCUGGAGUCUACUUGAGGGUGGACGGUGGAAGGAGGGUGAGGAUCAAAACGCUACCUACUGCGUCUCAUGCUGGUUCCUGGGUGAUGAAAUAAUCUGUACACCAAACUCCCACGAUGCACAAUUUACUCAGGGAACGAGUCUGCACAGGUACCCCCUGAACCGAAAACAAAAGUUGGAAAGAAAAACUAAUAAUAAUAAUAAAGAUAAAAUUGACUGUGGCAAUGAUUGUGUAACUUUGUGACUAUACUAAACACCAUUGGAUCGUACGGUUUACCUGGGUGAAUUCUAUGGCAUAUGAAUUACGGCUCAAUAAAAUUAUUUUUAAAAUAUUUUGAAUUAAAAAAUGCAACAAAACUCCCUACAGUAAGGUGCUAGUAGGUGCUAAUGCCUCACAUCAAAUAAACCUUUUGUCCUCGACCUGGUCCCUUGGCACCGCUUAGCUCUGUUGGGAGGCCCUGACUCCCUCGCUGGCUGGGAGACAGGCCUGGUUAUCACCCCCAGUGACUCUCUCCGGCCACUAGUUGGAUCUUCGUGAUGUCUGGUGUGACCCUUGGUUCUCUGACCUCAAUGACUGUAGCUUGAGUCAGGCUCCCUCUCCUUUUCUCCUGGCCCAAGAUCUAGAAGAACUGGAUCCUCACCCUGGCUGUGUGAUCUUUGGCUCCCUGUGUGACCUUCUGGCCCUUGGAGGAGGCACAGAUGCGUGGAACAGAGCCAGCAGACACCACCUCUCUGGAAGUGAAGAUGGAACCAGGCUGGGUGCAGGAUUAAGUCAGUCAAUGCAGCUUAUAUGCAGUCUCGAGCUAUUCCUGCUUGGCUUCCAUGAGGUAACCAGGUUUUAGAGAGCAGGUGAAGACAGAGGAGAGGAGAUAACAGAGGUCCAAAAUGUCCCUCAAUGUGAAAACCUGGUCCCAAAGAACUUUCACAUGCCCUUUGCCACCUGCAAGCUACUUCACUCACCUUGAGCAUUUUACCCUUCCAGUAGCCCUGUGAGUGCGGAGGAACAGUCGCGGAGGAACAGUCCCUUAGCUCAUUCCAUCAACCUCGAGUCCAGUUUUACCCUCCCAGUAGCCCUGUGAGUGGGGAGGAAUAGUACCGUAGCUCAUUCCAUCAACCUGGAAGUCCAGGGCAGGCUGUCUCUUGUUCAGGGUCAGUGGACAGUGAAUGGGGGCUGGAACCCAGAUUUUCAGACUCCACAUCAAAUAUCUUUUAUCCUCUAAGUGCUAGAUGGUGCAAUUAGUAAGCAUCUUCUAAGUUCUAUCACCAGGAGGCUUAAAAUGCUUAUGCCGGCCGAGUGUGGUGGUUCACACUUGUAAUCCCAGCACUUUGGGAGGCCAAGGCGGGCGGAUCACUUGAAGACAGGAGUUUGAGACCAGCCUGGCCAAUACGGUGAAAACCUGUCUCUACUAAAAACACAAAAAAAUUAGCUGGGCGUGGUGGCGGGCGCCUGUAAUUCCAGCUACUCAGGUGGCUGAGGCAGGAGAGUCGCUCGAACCCAGGAGGUGGAGGUUGCAGUGAGCCGAGAUCACAUCAUUGCAAUCCAGCCUGGGCAACAAGAGCGAAACUCCGUCUCAAAAAAAAAAAAAAAAAAUGCUUAUGCCAAGUGAGCUCGCUCCCCAGCACACCGAAGCAAAGCUCUCCUUCUGCCCCGCCAGAGUCUAACCUAGGCUGACGGACUCGGCCUGGGGCUGCCACCGAGGGAACCAUGAGAAAUCAGUCAGG
Molecule: long non-coding RNA, 2047 nt
Filed under: Homo sapiens (human)
Lineage: Eukaryota; Metazoa; Chordata; Mammalia; Primates; Hominidae
Description: HSALNT0273904
Source: RNAcentral